GCUUGGGAAACUGCCCAGUCGUGGGGGACAACCAUUGGAAACGAUGGCUAAUACCGCAUACGCCCUACGGGGAAAGAAGGGACCGUUCGGGCCUUUCGCGAUUGGAUGUGCCCAAGUGGGAUUAGCUAGUUGGUGGGGUAAUGGCCUACCAAGCCUACGAUCCAUAGCUGGUUUGAGAGGAUGAUCAGCAACACUGGGACUGAGACACGGCCCAGACUCCUACGGGAGGCAGCAGUGGGGAAUCUUAGACAAUGGGCGCAAGCCUGAUCUAGCCAUGCCGCGUGAGUGACGAAGGCCCUA
This 300-nucleotide ribosomal RNA is filed under the name uncultured bacterium. Its description in RNAcentral is "bacterial SSU rRNA". It matches the Rfam family "Bacterial small subunit ribosomal RNA", at positions 115 to 419 of the family's 1533-position model. The record is from RNAcentral.